UGCCACAGUGAUGACAUUAUAUUUGCUACUCUUGACAAUAAGAAUGAUGAUCAAGAUAACCACCGUUAAUUAACUGAGGCA
This is a small nucleolar RNA of Dipodomys ordii (Ord's kangaroo rat), 81 nucleotides long. Its record names the gene SNORD24. It matches the Rfam family "Small nucleolar RNA SNORD24". Rfam says of the family: U24 is a member of the C/D class of snoRNA which contain the C (UGAUGA) and D (CUGA) box motifs. NCBI's taxonomy places the organism in Eukaryota, Metazoa, Chordata, Mammalia, Rodentia, Heteromyidae. The record is from Ensembl.